UACGAAGGGUGCGAGCGUUAAUCGGUAUUACUGGGCGUAAAGCGUGCGCAGGCGGUGAUGUAAGACAGAUGUGAAAUCCCCGGGCUCAACCUGGGAACUGCAUUUGUGACUGCAUCGCUGGAGUGCGGCAGAGGGGGAUGGAAUUCCGCGUGUAGCAGUGAAAUGCGUAGAUAUGCGGAGGAACACCGAUGGCGAAGGCAAUCCCCUGGGCCUGCACUGACGCUCAUGCACGAAAGCGUGGGGAGCAAACAGG
This 253-nucleotide ribosomal RNA is filed under the name uncultured bacterium. RNAcentral describes it as "partial 16S ribosomal RNA". It matches the Rfam family "Bacterial small subunit ribosomal RNA", at positions 524 to 776 of the family's 1533-position model. The record is from RNAcentral.